RNAcentral lists this ribosomal RNA (253 nucleotides) under uncultured bacterium. Its description in RNAcentral is "partial 16S ribosomal RNA". It matches the Rfam family "Bacterial small subunit ribosomal RNA", at positions 524 to 776 of the family's 1533-position model. The record is from RNAcentral.
UACGGGGGGGGCAAGCGUUGUUCGGAAUUACUGGGCGUAAAGCGUGCGCAGGCGGUUGUGCAAGACAGAUGUGAAAUCCCCGGGCUCAACCUGGGAACUGCACUUGUGACUGCACAGCUUGAGUGCGGCAGAGGGGGAUGGAAUUCCGCGUGUAGCAGUGAAAUGCGUAGAUAUGCGGAGGAACACCGAUGGCGAAGGCAAUCCCCUGGGCCUGCACUGACGCUCAUGCACGAAAGCGUGGGGAGCAAACAGG